Molecule: ribosomal RNA, 253 nt
Filed under: uncultured bacterium
Lineage: Bacteria
Description: partial 16S ribosomal RNA
Rfam family: Bacterial small subunit ribosomal RNA
Source: RNAcentral
UACGUAGGGGGCAAGCGUUGUCCGGAAUUAUUGGGCGUAAAGAGCGCGUAGGCGGUCCGGUAAGUCGGUUGUGAAAGUCGGGGGCUCAACCCUCGGAUGCCGAUCGAUACUGUCGGGCUAGAGUCCGGAAGAGGCGAGUGGAAUUCCUGGUGUAGCGGUGAAAUGCGCAGAUAUCAGGAGGAACACCAGCGGCGAAGGCGGCGCUCUGGGCCGGUACUGACGCUGAGGAGCGAAAGCGUGGGGAGCAAACAGG